GAACGCACUAGAGCGCGCACCGUUCGUCACUGAAAACUGGGCCCCGCUGGAUCGUCUGCUCCUCGCUCGCUAUCUCUAGAUUUGUGGGCCCGUGGCGUCAGGCACGAUCCAAAAUUCCUCGCCAGGCAUGACGGAAGUGCGCCGUGAAUGGGGGAAGGCUCGUUGCCCCUUUUCCAGACCGUGCGGCCCCUAUAAGCUGUGACGGGGUCCCGGGUCUCCACUUUCCCUAUCUCCGCGACCAUAGGAGCACAGACGCAACUGAGUGGGGGGCCAAUCAUGGGUGUGCGGGUCGGCGGCGUGGAAAGCUUGGAGUCGUCGGCCUCAACCGUGCCUGCGGAGUCUGGUGGUGGUCGGGGAGCUUCGCGAGACCACGUGGAACGUGUACAGAUCGUCCUCGGGAGCGAUUACCUGCUGGCGUGGAAGGAAUUGCUCACCAUCGACCACGGGCGGCCGUGGAAUCGUCGAGCACCGUGGGCGGAACUCGGUGUGCCGCCAGUGUUG
This 501-nucleotide long non-coding RNA is filed under the name Zea mays. RNAcentral's name for it is "long non-coding RNA NONZMAT001902". Lineage: Eukaryota; Viridiplantae; Streptophyta; Magnoliopsida; Poales; Poaceae. The record is from RNAcentral.